AGUGAACGCUGGCGGUAGGCCUAACACAUGCAAGUCGAACGGCAGCACAGUAAGAGCUUGCUCUUACGGGUGGCGAGUGGCGGACGGGUGAGGAAUACAUCGGAAUCUACUUUUUCGUGGGGGAUAACGUAGGGAAACUUACGCUAAUACCGCAUACGACCUACGGUUGAAAGCAGGGGAUCUUCUGACCUUGCGCGAUUGAAUGAGCCGAUGUCGGAUUAGCUAGUUGGCGGGGUAAAGGCCCACCAAGGCGACGAUCCGUAGCUGGUCUGAGAGGAUGAUAGGCCCCACUGGAACUGAGACACGGUCCAGACUCCUACGGGAGGCAGCAGUGGGGAAUAUUGGACAAUGGGCGCAAGCCUGAUCCAGCCAUACCGCGUGGGUGAAAAAGGCCUUCGGGUUGUAAAGACCUUUUGUUGGGAAAGAAAAGCAGCAGGUUAAUACCCAGCUGUUCUGACGGUAACCAAAGAAUAAGCACCGGCUAACUUCGUG
This 492-nucleotide ribosomal RNA is filed under the name uncultured bacterium. Its description in RNAcentral is "partial 16S ribosomal RNA". It matches the Rfam family "Bacterial small subunit ribosomal RNA", at positions 29 to 507 of the family's 1533-position model. The record is from RNAcentral.